RNAcentral lists this ribosomal RNA (463 nucleotides) under uncultured bacterium. Its description in RNAcentral is "bacterial SSU rRNA". It matches the Rfam family "Bacterial small subunit ribosomal RNA", at positions 28 to 507 of the family's 1533-position model. The record is from RNAcentral.
GACGAACGCUGGCGGCGUGCUUAACACAUGCAAGUCGAGCGGAAAGGCUCCUUCGGGGGUACUCGAGCGGCGAACGGGUGAGUAACACGUGAGUAAUCUGCCUUUGGCUUCGGGAUAGCCCUCCGAAAGGGGGAUUAAUACCGGAUAUGACCUGUCACUGCAUGGUGGUGGGUGGAAAGUUUUUCGGCCAGAGAUGUGCUCGCGGCCUAUCAGCUUGAUGGUGAGGUAAUGGCUCACCAUGGCUUCGACGGGUAGCCGGCCUGAGAGGGUGACCGGUCACACUGGGACUGAGACACGGCCCAGACUCCUACGGGAGGCAGCAGUGGGGAAUAUUGGACAAUGGGCGGAAGCCUGAUCCAGCAACGCCGCGUGAGGGAUGACUGCCUUCGGGUUGUAAACCUCUUUCAGUACCGACGAAGCGAAAGUGACGGUAGGUACAGAAGAAGCACCGGCCAACUACGUG